This 744-nucleotide ribosomal RNA is filed under the name Triticum aestivum (bread wheat). RNAcentral's name for it is "partial small subunit ribosomal RNA". The record is from RNAcentral. Lineage: Eukaryota; Viridiplantae; Streptophyta; Magnoliopsida; Poales; Poaceae.
AUGGCCGGAAUUGUCCACAAAGAGUUUGCUGAGUUGGCCCAAACGGGGAUGAACUACCUGUCAUGGGCUUCGGACUGUGAGAUUUUUCUCCAGGGCAGAACCCUCCUGAGGGCGAUCGAUAAGGGGACCCAGCUGGCCCCCACCGAUCCCAAGUUUGAAACUGAGAAUGCGCAGGCUCUGCAUUUUCUCCGUCAUCACCUGUCACCUACUCUGAAAGAUGAGUAUAUGGCUGAACGGAGUGCUUCUGGCCUUUGGACCGCUCUUAAGCAGCGGUUUGAGCGGCUGAAGUACGCUGUUAAGCCACGUGCAGAGGCAGAGUGGAUCCGUCUGAGGUUUGAAGAUUGAGAAACCCUAUCCACUUUCCACCCUGACGCGGUCCUGUCCGCACGGAACUACCGCCAGGGAAACUACACGAGGUAUUCAGAGUUGAUUGAUGUCCUCCAGGUGGCAGAGGCGCAGGACGAGGUUCUGAAAAAGAACUUUGCCGCGCAACCACUUGGGAAGAAGAGGGGCCGCAAGGGCAAGAAGAAGGGCCCUCAGCCCUCCGCCCCGGCUAAGCAGCAAAAGCCGGGCAAGGGGGGCAGAGGCCUCAGGACUGCUCGGUGUGGCUCGGUGGAGCAUUUCUCCCGCCAGUGUCGCGCACCACAGGAGGUCGUUGAUGCAUAUAAGGCCCGGAAGGCGCGUGAGAUGCACCUCGCCUUGGUUCAGGAGGGAGCACCACUGGCGCCCAUGGCGGCACUGUAA